Camelina sativa (false flax) is the source of this 285-nucleotide non-coding RNA. NCBI's taxonomy places the organism in Eukaryota, Viridiplantae, Streptophyta, Magnoliopsida, Brassicales, Brassicaceae. The record is from RefSeq and is a predicted model, not a curated record.
UACCUCACAUCAGAUUUAUCAUGCAAGUUUCUUUAAAGCCUGCAAGAAGCAACGAGCUGUCAAGGAAGCAUUUCGCUUUACCAAGUUGAUUCUAAAUCCAACCUUAAGCACAUUCAAUAUGUUAAUGUCUGUCUGCGCAAGCUCCCAGGACAUAGAAGGAGCUCGACGAGUUUUGCGUCUGGUACAAGAGAGCGGUAUGACUGCUGAUUGCAAACUUUACACAACUUUAAUAUCAAGUUGUGCUAAAAGCGGAAAAGUUGAUGCAAUGUUCGAGGUGUUCCACCA